RNAcentral lists this ribosomal RNA (427 nucleotides) under uncultured bacterium. RNAcentral describes it as "partial 16S ribosomal RNA". It matches the Rfam family "Bacterial small subunit ribosomal RNA", at positions 355 to 774 of the family's 1533-position model. The record is from RNAcentral.
UGGGGAAUAUUGCACAAUGGGCGCAAGCCUGAUGCAGCCAUGCCGCGUGUAUGAAGAAGGCCUUCGGGUUGUAAAGUACUUUCAGCGAGGAGGAAGGCGGUAAGGUUAAUAACCUUAUCGAUUGACGUUACUCGCAGAAGAAGCACCGGCUAACUCCGUGCCAGCAGCCGCGGUAAUACGGAGGGUGCAAGCGUUAAUCGGAAUUACUGGGCGUAAAGCGCACGCAGGCGGUCUGUCAAGUCGGAUGUGAAAUCCCCGGGCUCAACCUGGGAACUGCAUUCGAAACUGGCAGGCUAGAGUCUUGUAGAGGGGGGUAGAAUUCCAGGUGUAGCGGUGAAAUGCGUAGAGAUCUGGAGGAAUACCGGUGGCGAGGGCGGCCCCCUGGACAAAGACUGACGCUCAGGUGCGAAAGCGUGGGGAGCAAACA